This 1014-nucleotide ribosomal RNA is filed under the name Rhopilema esculentum. RNAcentral describes it as "eukaryotic LSU rRNA". It matches the Rfam family "Eukaryotic large subunit ribosomal RNA", at positions 124 to 946 of the family's 3401-position model. The record is from RNAcentral. Lineage: Eukaryota; Metazoa; Cnidaria; Scyphozoa; Rhizostomeae; Rhizostomatidae.
CUGUUGCUUGCAACAGCGAAUUGUAGUCUCGAGAAGCGUCUUCAAAACGGAUCUACCCUGCCAAAGUUGCUUGGAAGAGCGCAUCGGAGAGGGUGACAAUCCCGUGCGAGGCAGGGCAGACCGUUCGUGAUGCGCUUUCGAUGAGUCGGGUUGCUUGGGAAUGCAGCCCAAAAUUGGUGGUAGACUCCAUCUAAAGCUAAAUAUUGGCACGAGACCGAUAGCGAACAAGUACCGUGAGGGAAAGAUGAAAAGAACUUUGAAAAGAGAGUUAAAAAGUGCGUGAAACCGUUGGAGGGGAAACGGAUGCAGUUAGCAACGCUGCUGCGAGAUUCAGACGGUAGCCUGGUUAGACGGUCAGUUGGCGGAUCUGAAUGGACUGCUGCUGGGUGGCCUGGCCUUGCGCCCGUCGCACUUCUCGUAGUAGUGUGUCAACAACUGCCAGCCGUGCACUAUACGGCCCGAUGGAAGGUAGGCACCCGGUUCGCCGGGUGUUGUUAUAGACUUCGGUGCUCCAGUGCAUGUGCUGGCAGAGGCGAGCGGUGCAACUCUGCCAUUGGUAGGGUUGGCGUCCUGUUGCUCUCUCGUAGUCGGUGGGAGCCCACUGCGUGCAGUGCGCAUUUGCCGGUGAAAAGGGGUACAAUCAACGCACAUCUUGCACCAUGGUUGUUGGCGGCCAAAUGGCUUUAUCCGACCCGUCUUGAAACACGGACCAAGGAGUCUAACAUGUGCGCAAGUCUUGGGGUGACCGAAACCCAGAGGCGCAAUGAAAGUAAAGGCUGCCUGGCAGCUGAGGUGAGAUCUUUGCUCCACGCGAGUGAAGCGCAUCAUCGACCGACCUGUUCUACUCUUAGAAGGGUUUGAGUAAGAGCGUGCAUGCUGGGACCCGAAAGAUGGUGAACUAUGCUUGAGUAGGGUGAAGCCAGAGGAAACUCUGGUGGAAGCUCGUAGCGAUUCUGACGUGCAAAUCGAUCGUCGAACUUGAGUAUAGGGGCGAAAGACUAAUCGAACCAUCUA